GCCAGGAUGAUUUUGCUAUCUGUGGCAACUCUAAGGGAACCCUGGUUCCCUAAGCUUUUGCUGGAUAUCAGAAUUCCAAUCCCUCUCCACUGUGCUUUUUUUUUUCAUUGGCAGAACUUUAAAUGAUUUUAUAAAACUGCAAAUGUACAAGGUAAUUGAGUCUUCUGUUUUAUUACCCUGAGCUGCCUGGACCUUGCCCGGCCUCCUCCUCACUCACCGAGCCGCCGGAAUAAAGUUGGAAGUGUUUGUGCUGGUAAUAUAUAGGACUUAAUUAACCUGGCCUUUUAUAGCAUUUCCAAUGGAGGGUUGGAACGAACUUCGAGGCAGCCUGAGAAAGGGAAAGGGGGGCCUAGGGUGAGAGCGUGUAUGUACAUACAACACUUGAUGUUGGUUUUUUUCUUCUGUUCUUUUCUCCAGUACUUUAAUCAGCAUUUAAUGACCCAGUCAAAAAUUCAUCGUUUGGACCCAAGCACUGGUGGGAAAGGCAGUAGGGGAGGCCUGCCUUCCUCUCUCCCUCCCGAGUCCUACAGCAGGCCAUGGAGUGGAAAAAGUGAUUCAGCUCCGGUCCACCCUGGGUGCAGCAGUCCUUCUGCCAAGAUGCCUUCAUGUCAUACAGCUAUUAUUUUCGGGAGGAUUCCAAGUGAGGGCAGUCAGGGUGGGCUUGGUCCAUUCUCUAGACUUUGGAAGAUAAUGUUCCAUAGAGGCCUGUUCUGAAGCUUUACCAGGUCAAACCGGAGAAGAACCCAACAACGUAACUCAUCCCAGCCUAACUAUCCUUCAACGGCAAUCAACCUACAGCAUCCAAGCACAGAGAAAUCAAAUCCAUAGAGAAUCUUCAAAUUAGGCUCAGAAUCCGUUUGGGACACUGGAUUUACUGUUAUCAAGAUCUUAGUUGUGCUCAUCCAUGAUCUGACAUACCUUAGAGUGAGAAGAUACUCUUCCUAGGCUCAGACUAGUUGAAGGUAGAGAGAGAGAGAGAGAGAGAGAGAGACCCUUGGGUGUGGGGAGACCUCCCCUGGGAUAAUACACACACAAAACCAAGAGCUGCUCACUGUGGUGCAGCAGACAGCAGGGGCCUGAAGCCAGAGGCUCUCUCUGUGUCCUUGAAUACAACGCUUUACUCCUCUGACCCCUGUUACCGUGAUUUGGAGAGGCAGACAAUAUAGUAUGGGCUCUGCAGGCAGGGAGGUCCAGUUAUAAUCCCAGCUCUUACUAAGUUGGGUAAGACUCACUCUGAGACUUAGUUUCUUCUAUCAUCUCUCAAUAGAAUCAUAAAGGUACUUUCUUGUUAGUGUUGUUUUAAAAUUCAGUAAAAUAACGAAGGCUUAGCACAGGGUCUGAUGUAAAUUUUCAAUGAAUUAUUGUUGUCAGUUAUUGUUCUAGAAAACAAGAGGGCAUAUUAGAUCAAAAGUACUGCCAAGCAUUGAAAUGCCAAUUCCAGAUCCAGUUUCAGUCCUCUGAGAACUGAUAUCAUUGUUUUCGAGCCAUUCAGAAACCAGUGUGAAUUGAACACCUAGUAUGAGCUCUCUGGGGGAAGAGCCAAGUCCUACAUUUUCG
This is a long non-coding RNA of Macaca nemestrina (pig-tailed macaque), 1557 nucleotides long. NCBI's taxonomy places the organism in Eukaryota, Metazoa, Chordata, Mammalia, Primates, Cercopithecidae. The record is from Ensembl.